This 355-nucleotide ribosomal RNA is filed under the name uncultured bacterium. RNAcentral's name for it is "bacterial SSU rRNA". It matches the Rfam family "Bacterial small subunit ribosomal RNA", at positions 8 to 353 of the family's 1533-position model. The record is from RNAcentral.
AGAGUUUGAUCCUGGCUCAGGAUGAACGCUAGCUACAGGCUUAACACAUGCAAGUCGAGGGGAAACGACAUCGAAAGCUUGCUUUUGAUGGGCGUCGACCGGCGUACGGGUGAGUAACACGUAUCCAACCUGCCGUCUACUCUUGGGACAGCUUCUGAAAGGAAGAUUAAUACAAGAUGGCAUCAUGAGUUCACAUGUUCACAUGAUUAAAGGUUUCCGGUAGACGAUGGGGAUGCGUUCCAUUAGAUAGUAGGCGGGGUAACGGCCCACCUAGUCUUCGAUGGAUAGGGGUUCUGAGAGGAAGGUCCCCCACAUUGGAACUGAGACACGGUCCAAACUCCUACGGGAGGCAGCA